RNAcentral lists this small RNA (125 nucleotides) under Marmota monax (woodchuck). The record is from RNAcentral. Lineage: Eukaryota; Metazoa; Chordata; Mammalia; Rodentia; Sciuridae.
GCCAGGCAUGGUGGCGCAUGUCUGUAAUCCCAGCGACUCAGGAGGCUGAGGCAGGAGGAUCACGAGUUCAAAGCCAGCCUCAGCGAUGUCAAGGCACUAAGCAACUCAGUGAGAUCCUGUCUCUC